UUUUUUUCUUCUAGGAACUCAUUGAGAAUAUCACAUUGCAUUGAGAGUUCUGUCACCUUAGGCUCCUCUUGACUGAGACAGAUUCUCAUACUUUCAUUGAUUUUUGAUAACCUUGAAAGUUUUGAGAACAGUUCAGCUAGGAAAGUUAAUUUUCAGUUCUUACUGAAGUGCUGUAUGAAACUGAAAUUUCCAAGGAACUGAAUUUUGUGAGCCAAAUGAGCAUGCAAUUCUUGUUUAAGAUGGUGGCCUUAUGCUGUUGUCUCUGGAAGAUCUCCGGCUGUGAGGAAGUCCCUCUAACUUACAACCUGCUCAAGUGCCUCCUAGAUAAAGCGCACUGUGUACUCCUGACAUCUUGUGGUUACAUCUUUUCCUUGAUCAGUCCAGAAAUUCUCAAACUCACUUUAAUCACUUUGCAGAUCCUCUUAAUACUCAAAAAUCUACACUUACUGUGGCUGACAGUUUCAAGCAGAUGUGUUCAUCGCAGUAGUGCAAGAAAAGAAAAGUAGAAGAACCCUGCAGAGAUUUGAUGGAACCCAGCUUCUAUUCAUUAAAACCAAUGGCAAAAUAUAAAGCAAAUAGGAGGUGACGAAGGUUACAAAGAUACGUAUUGUUUAUGUUUUCCCUGGGGUGUGCUGAUUGUCAGGCAUCAGUUCCCUGUGCCAUUCAUUCCCCAACACAGCAUGCAUCAGAAAUUUUAUCAAUAAAUGCUUUCUCUCUCAAUGUUCAACCUAUGCUGAUAGACCAUUAAAUACAGUUUUUGGGUUCACAGCUUGUCAUCAUCAUUUGUCUAUACCUGUGGCAAAGAAUAUCUAAUAAGAUACUCUCAGCAUUUUGCACACUUAAACUAAGAUGCUGAAUGCUGUAUUUUACGGAAUAAUCAGCCACAUUAAAUUUGGAGACUCAACAAGCAUGCUGUGAACAUUCAACAUUAGGUUUAAAUUUUAUUUUUAAAAGUUAAUAAUAAAAGGAUAUAUGUUAAGUAUUAUGAAACCCUGCAUAUAUUGUAAUAAAAUGGUGGAUGUGAAUGGACAAUAUAUGCAAUAAAAUUUAUAAUUUGAUUCUGA
This is a long non-coding RNA of Homo sapiens (human), 1064 nucleotides long. RefSeq lists it as uncharacterized. The record is from RefSeq and is a predicted model, not a curated record. NCBI's taxonomy places the organism in Eukaryota, Metazoa, Chordata, Mammalia, Primates, Hominidae. The transcript has 4 exons.